UUUUUCCUGGGAUGUUCGAGAUUCUCUAUUGGUUUUAACCCACAGAAUGUAUACGGGAGACCGAGUUUGUCUGUUUGAUGCCAGGCCAUCCUGAAUGGAAGGCAGAGGCAGACAAUAGGUCACCCACCUGCUGAGAGGCGGGUAGUAAAAUCGUAGAGAGACGGCAUCAUGGGAGGAGU
RNAcentral lists this non-coding RNA (179 nucleotides) under Clostridiales bacterium. Its description in RNAcentral is "6S RNA". It matches the Rfam family "6S / SsrS RNA". From Rfam's summary of the family: E. coli 6S RNA was the first non coding RNA to be sequenced, but its function was unknown until recently. The record is from RNAcentral. Lineage: Bacteria; Bacillati; Bacillota; Clostridia; Eubacteriales.